RNAcentral lists this ribosomal RNA (413 nucleotides) under uncultured bacterium. Its description in RNAcentral is "partial 16S ribosomal RNA". It matches the Rfam family "Bacterial small subunit ribosomal RNA", at positions 355 to 780 of the family's 1533-position model. The record is from RNAcentral.
UGGGGAAUAUUGGACAAUGGGCGGAAGCCUGAUCCAGCAACGCCGCGUGAGGGAUGACGGCCUUCGGGUUGUAAACCUCUUUCAGUACCGACGAAGCGAAAGUGACGGUAGGUACAGAAGAAGGACCGGCCAACUACGUGCCAGCAGCCGCGGUAAUACGUAGGGUCCGAGCGUUGUCCGGAAUUAUUGGGCGUAAAGGGCUCGUAGGCGGUUUGUCGCGUCGGGAGUGAAAACAGCGGGCUUAACUCGUUGCUUGCUUUCGAUACGGGCAGACUAGAGGUAUGCAGGGGAGAAUGGAAUUCCUGGUGUAGCGGUGAAAUGCGCAGAUAUCAGGAGGAACACCGGUGGCGAAGGCGGUUCUCUGGGCAUUACCUGACGCUGAGGAGCGAAAGUGUGGGGAGCGAACAGGAUUA